UAUUUUGAGAAAUUGAGAUAUCAGUAUCAGGAAACAAUAUUCUAAAUUUCUUCAUUCGAAUUGAAUUCUUAGUUUUUUUCUGGAUUCUUUAUAGAUUCAAAGACUAACCACAAAAUCACAAAGAAAAUAGAUUCAUUAGUCCGAUACCUUAUAUAAAACUCAUGUGUGUAAGAAAUAUUAGAUCGCAUAGAGUGUACGAAUGGGUUGAUUAACAAUUCAGAGAUGAAGAAAUGGCAAAAAAGAAAGCUUUCACUCCUCUUUUCUAUUUUGCAUCUAUAGUAU
Molecule: long non-coding RNA, 282 nt
Filed under: Nicotiana benthamiana
Lineage: Eukaryota; Viridiplantae; Streptophyta; Magnoliopsida; Solanales; Solanaceae
Description: long non-coding RNA (NBEN_LNC005020)
Source: RNAcentral